RNAcentral lists this ribosomal RNA (585 nucleotides) under uncultured bacterium. Its description in RNAcentral is "bacterial SSU rRNA". It matches the Rfam family "Bacterial small subunit ribosomal RNA", at positions 102 to 683 of the family's 1533-position model. The record is from RNAcentral.
ACGGGUGAGUAAUAUAUCGGAACGUGCCCAAUCGUGGGGGAUAACGUAGAGAAAUUUACGCUAAUACCGCAUACGAUCUAGGGAUGAAAGCGGGGGAUCGCAAGACCUCGCGCGAUUGGAGCGGCUGAUAUCAGAUUAGGUUGUUGGUGAGGUAAAAGCUCACCAAGCCGACGAUCUGUAGCUGGUUUGAGAGAACGACCAGCCACACUGGGACUGAGACACGGCCCAGACUCCUACGGGAGGCAGCAGUGGGGAAUUUUGGACAAUGGGCGAAAGCCUGAUCCAGCAAUGCCGCGUGCAGGAAGAAGGCCUUCGGGUUGUAAACUGCUUUUGUACGGAACGAAACGGCUCUUUCUAAUAAAGAGGGCUAAUGACGGUACCGUAAGAAUAAGCACCGGCUAACUACGUGCCAGCAGCCGCGGUAAUACGUAGGGUGCGAGCGUUAAUCGGAAUUACUGGGCGUAAAGCGUGCGCAGGCGGUUAUGUAAGACAGUUGUGAAAUCCCCGGGCUCAACCUGGGAAUUGCAUCUGUGACUGCAUAGCUAGAGUACGGUAGAGGGGGAUGGAAUUCCGCGUGUAGCAGUG